This 40-nucleotide non-coding RNA is filed under the name Trypanosoma brucei brucei. The record is from RNAcentral. Lineage: Eukaryota; Euglenozoa; Kinetoplastea; Trypanosomatida; Trypanosomatidae.
AAUAUACGUGAUGUCAGAGAUACUAUGUGAAUUCUAUAUU